Molecule: ribosomal RNA, 361 nt
Filed under: Synechococcus sp. CPC35
Lineage: Bacteria; Bacillati; Cyanobacteriota; Cyanophyceae; Synechococcales; Synechococcaceae
Description: bacterial LSU rRNA
Rfam family: Bacterial large subunit ribosomal RNA
Source: RNAcentral
GGGUUGGGCUGUUCGCCCAUUAAAGCGGUACGCGAGCUGGGUUCAGAACGUCGUGAGACAGUUCGGUCCAUAUCCGGUGUAGGCGUUAGAAUAUUGAGAGGAGCCUUCUUUAGUACGAGAGGACCGAGAAGGACAUACCUCUGGUGUACCAGUUAUCGUGCCAACGGUAAACGCUGGGUAGCUAUGUAUGGAGUGGAUAACCGCUGAAAGCAUCUAAGUGGGAAGCCCACCUCAAGAUAAGUAUUCUCAUCACGUAAGUGAGUAAGGUCACGGUAAGACUAACCGUUUAAUAGGCAUCAAGUAUAAAUGUAGUAAUAUAUGAGCUGAGAUGUGCUAACAGACCGAGGACUUGAAUCAUUUU